Hyaena hyaena (striped hyena) is the source of this 750-nucleotide long non-coding RNA. RefSeq lists it as uncharacterized. The transcript has 3 exons. The record is from RefSeq and is a predicted model, not a curated record. NCBI's taxonomy places the organism in Eukaryota, Metazoa, Chordata, Mammalia, Carnivora, Hyaenidae.
CCCGCCCCCCGGCCCCGCGCAGGCGCGCGCGCGUAGGGCCGAGGCCGGACGGUCGCCCGCGCGGGCGCGGGAGGCAAUGCGCCUGCGCAGUCUGGGUCUGGCCCCUUUUCGCCACUAAUUGGUAGGUCGGUAGGAGCUCAACGUUUCGCCUUAAAAAGAACAUUUUGAUCGAUUUCCCACUGCCAAAUGUGAAGGGCGAGUUCUCAGAGGACUCCCUUUCCCUUUGCUCUGGCUUCGUGAAGCUUCAGGACGAGGAGACUCGGUCCUCCUAGCCCAGGGGACCUGUGUGCCCAGCAGAAGGGACGGAUGCGACUGGGCAAAGAACAAAGGAGUUAUUGACCGGGGCUGCAGACCUGAAGCUUCUCGUCCUAAAAAAGUCACUGAACAAACGUGGAGAUGCAGAAAGACGCGGCACUGUUACAUAUGUGAAGAGAGAAAUUUCUCAAGGAAGAUUAAGCUGCAGGGAUGCAGAAGGGACCUCGUCCACCCAGGUCACCGGUUGCCAUCGUGGGCCCAUCCCCGCACUGUGCAGGGCUGCUGCCGGAGAGAUUUACAAUCAACUACAUAAAACGGCUGUACUCUGGUAGAUCUUGCAGAAGUGGAAGGCAGCCUGCCUGCAAGAAGAAGGCCUGUACUGCUCCCCCGUGAAGAUGGUCUCACAGUACAGUCAGGGGGCGAGCAGGAAGGGAUGUGUUCUCUGCGACUAUACUUUUAAAUUUAUACUUAAAACAGAAUGGAGGAACUAUAAUC